This 253-nucleotide ribosomal RNA is filed under the name uncultured bacterium. Its description in RNAcentral is "partial 16S ribosomal RNA". It matches the Rfam family "Bacterial small subunit ribosomal RNA", at positions 524 to 776 of the family's 1533-position model. The record is from RNAcentral.
UACGAAGGGGGCUAGCGUUGUUCGGAAUUACUGGGCGUAAAGCGUUCGUAGGCGGAUUGUUAAGUGAGGGGUGAAAUCCCGAGGCUCAACCUCGGAACUGCCUUUCAUACUGGCAAUCUUGAGUCCGGGAGAGGUGAGUGGAACUCCUAGUGUAGAGGUGAAAUUCGUAGAUAUUAGGAAGAACACCAGUGGCGAAGGCGGCUCACUGGCCCGGAACUGACGCUGAGGUACGAAAGCGUGGGGAGCAAACAGG